Molecule: non-coding RNA, 46 nt
Organism: Macrostomum lignano
Lineage: Eukaryota; Metazoa; Platyhelminthes; Macrostomidae
Source: Rfam
AAAACGGCCCUUUUCAGGGCCACCAAAUCUGUUUGAUGCUUGCCAG